This 430-nucleotide long non-coding RNA is filed under the name Numida meleagris (helmeted guineafowl). RNAcentral's name for it is "lncRNA (ENSNMEG00000000978.1)". The record is from RNAcentral. Lineage: Eukaryota; Metazoa; Chordata; Aves; Galliformes; Numididae.
AUUUCACUGAGGGCAGGAGCUCUGAAAGCCAAUGGAGAAUCUUGGCAAAAGGAAGAACUUAUGAGGACAUACUCAUAGGGUGCUGAUAUGGGGCCCUUCUGCAUUUCUUCUUGCCUUCUUUUUUGUUGUUGCUGUGUGAAGGAUUCAAGAAAGUUUUGGUAGUUAUCCAGAUCUAUUUUCUUCAUACACAAAUCCCAGAAUUCCUGCUUUGGAGAAACAAAGAUGACUUCAGUGAAUGGGUGAGUAAUUGCAAGCCAGAAGGUAGAGAACCACGAAAAGACUUGUGUUUUCUUCCUGCCUGGUUAUCUCACUUCUUUUUUUCCAAAAGAAAAAGACUAUUCUAUGAUUUCAAAAAAUUUCUCUUGUAAAAUGUUUUGGGUUUUUUUUUGAGGAUAUUUCCAGAAACAGAUAUUGGAAUAUUUCUGAGUAG